Molecule: small RNA, 29 nt
Filed under: Bombyx mori (domestic silkworm)
Lineage: Eukaryota; Metazoa; Arthropoda; Insecta; Lepidoptera; Bombycidae
Description: ovarian small RNA-31939
Source: RNAcentral
UGACUGAACAGAUGCGUUGCUGCCUUCAC